This 495-nucleotide ribosomal RNA is filed under the name uncultured bacterium. RNAcentral describes it as "partial 16S ribosomal RNA". It matches the Rfam family "Bacterial small subunit ribosomal RNA", at positions 30 to 507 of the family's 1533-position model. The record is from RNAcentral.
UGAACUCUGGCGGCGUGCCUAAUACAUGCAAGUCGAGCGAACGGACGAGAAGCUUGCUUCUCUGAUGUUAGCGGCGGACGGGUGAGUAACACGUGGAUAACCUACCUAUAAGACUGGGAUAACUUCGGGAAACCGGAGCUAAUACCGGAUAAUAUUUUGAACCGCAUGGUUCAAAAGUGAAAGACGGUCUUGCUGUCACUUAUAGAUGGAUCCGCGCUGCAUUAGCUAGUUGGUAAGGUAACGGCUUACCAAGGCAACGAUGCAUAGCCGACCUGAGAGGGUGAUCGGCCAAACUGGAACUGAGACACGGUCCAGACUCCUACGGGAGGCAGCAGUAGGGAAUCUUCCGCAAUGGGCGAAAGCCUGACGGAGCAACGCCGCGUGAGUGAUGAAGGUCUUCGGAUCGUAAAACUCUGUUAUUAGGGAAGAACAUAUGUGUAAGUAACUGUGCACAUCUUGACGGUACCUAAUCAGAAAGCCACGGCUAACUACGUG